CGCCAGACUCCUACGGGAGGCAGCAGUGGGGAAUAUUGCACAAUGGGGGAAACCCUGAUGCAGCGACGCCGCGUGAGUGAAGAAGUAUUUCGGUAUGUAAAGCUCUCUCAGCAGGGAAGAAAAUGACGGUACCUGAUUAAGAAGCCCCGGCUAACUACGUGCCAGCAGCCGCGGUAAUACGUAGGGGGCAAGCGUUAUCCGGAUUUACUGGGUGUAAAGGGAGCGUAGACGGUGAUGCAAGUCAGAAGUGAAAGCCCGGGGCUCAACGCCGGGACUGCUUUUGAAACUGUGUGACUGGAGUGCAGGAGAGGUAAGCGGAAUUCCUGGUGUAGCGGUGAAAUGCGUAGAUAUCAGGAGGAACACCAGUGGCGAAGGCGGCUUACUGGACUGUAACUGACGUUGAGGCUCGAAAGCGUGGGGAGCAAACAGGAUUAGAUACCCCUGUA
RNAcentral lists this ribosomal RNA (446 nucleotides) under uncultured bacterium. RNAcentral describes it as "bacterial SSU rRNA". It matches the Rfam family "Bacterial small subunit ribosomal RNA", at positions 329 to 792 of the family's 1533-position model. The record is from RNAcentral.